UACGGAGGGAGCAAGCGUUACUCGGAAUUAUUGGGCGUAAAGGGCGCGUAGGCGAUCCGACAAGUCUGGUGUGAAAGCCCACAUGUUAACUGUGGAAGUGCAUUAGAAACUGUUGGAUUUGAGUUCAGGAGAGGAAAGCAGAAUUCCCGGUGUAGCGGUGAAAUGCGUAGAGAUCGGGAGGAAUACCAGUGGCGAAGGCGGGUCUCUGGACAGUUCCUGACGCUGAGGCACGAAGGCCAGGGGAGCAAACGGG
RNAcentral lists this ribosomal RNA (253 nucleotides) under uncultured prokaryote. Its description in RNAcentral is "partial 16S ribosomal RNA". It matches the Rfam family "Bacterial small subunit ribosomal RNA", at positions 524 to 776 of the family's 1533-position model. The record is from RNAcentral.